AUUGAACGCUGGCGGCAUGCCUUACACAUGCAAGUCGAACGGCAGCGGGCCUUCGGGUGCCGGCGAGUGGCGAACGGGUGAGUAAUGCAUCGGAACGUGCCAUUGAGUGGGGGAUAACGUAGCGAAAGUUACGCUAAUACCGCAUAUUCUGUGAGCAGGAAAGCAGGGGACCGCAAGGCCUUGCGCUCUUUGAGCGGCCGAUGUCAGAUUAGCUAGUUGGUGAGGUAAAGGCUUACCAAGGCGACGAUCUGUAGCGGGUCUGAGAGGAUGAUCCGCCACACUGGAACUGAGACACGGUCCAGACUCCUACGGGAGGCAGCAGUGGGGAAUUUUGGACAAUGGGCGCAAGCCUGAUCCAGCCAUGCCGCGUGAGUGAAGAAGGCCUUCGGGUU
This 392-nucleotide ribosomal RNA is filed under the name uncultured bacterium. RNAcentral describes it as "bacterial SSU rRNA". It matches the Rfam family "Bacterial small subunit ribosomal RNA", at positions 30 to 424 of the family's 1533-position model. The record is from RNAcentral.